UACAGAGGGGGCAAGCGUUAUUCGGAAUUAUUGGGCGUAAAGGGCGCGUAGGCGGCUUGGCAAGUGGAAGGUGAAAUCCCUCGGCUUAACCGAGGAACUGCCCUCCAAACUGCUUGGCUUGAGACCGGGAGAGGUGAGUGGAAUUCCCAGUGUAGCGGUGAAAUGCGUAGAUAUUGGGAGGAACACCAGUGGCGAAGGCGGCUCACUGGACCGGAACUGACGCUGAGGCGCGAAAGCGUGGGGAGCAAACAGG
This 253-nucleotide ribosomal RNA is filed under the name uncultured bacterium. RNAcentral describes it as "partial 16S ribosomal RNA". It matches the Rfam family "Bacterial small subunit ribosomal RNA", at positions 524 to 776 of the family's 1533-position model. The record is from RNAcentral.